This 122-nucleotide ribosomal RNA is filed under the name Mus pahari (shrew mouse). Its description in RNAcentral is "rRNA (MGP_PahariEiJ_G0032735.1)". Lineage: Eukaryota; Metazoa; Chordata; Mammalia; Rodentia; Muridae. The record is from RNAcentral.
GUUUAUGGCCGUCACCUUCUGGAAAUGCUUGAUCUCAUCUGACCUCUUAAACUAAGCAGGGCCGGGACUGGUUGGUGCCUGUGUUGGGGAAUAUGUAUCGAGGCAACCUGAAUAUAUAAUUC